GACGAACGCUGGCGGCGUGCUUAACACAUGCAAGUCGAACGGAAAGGCCCUGCUUUUGUGGGGUGCUCGAGUGGCGAACGGGUGAGUAACACGUGAGUAACCUGCCCUUGACUUUGGGAUAACUUCAGGAAACUGGGGCUAAUACCGGAUAGGAGCUCCUGCUGCAUGGUGGGGGUUGGAAAGUUUCGGCGGUUGGGGAUGGACUCGCGGCUUAUCAGCUUGUUGGUGGGGUAGUGGCUUACCAAGGCUUUGACGGGUAGCCGGCCUGAGAGGGUGACAGGCCACAUUGGGACUGAGAUACGGCCCAGACUCCUACGGGAGGCAGCGGUGGGGAAUAUUGCACAAUGGGCGGAAGCCUGAUGCAGCAACGCCGCGUGCGGGAUGACGGCCUUCGGGUUGUAAACCGCUUUCGCCUGUGACGAAGCGUGAGUGACGGUAAUGGGUAAAGAAGCACCGGCUAACUACGUG
This 468-nucleotide ribosomal RNA is filed under the name uncultured bacterium. RNAcentral's name for it is "partial 16S ribosomal RNA". It matches the Rfam family "Bacterial small subunit ribosomal RNA", at positions 28 to 507 of the family's 1533-position model. The record is from RNAcentral.